This 100-nucleotide Y RNA is filed under the name Propithecus coquereli (Coquerel's sifaka). RNAcentral describes it as "Y RNA (ENSPCOG00000006970.1)". It matches the Rfam family "Y RNA". Rfam says of the family: Y RNAs are components of the Ro ribonucleoprotein particle (Ro RNP), in association with Ro60 and La proteins. The Y RNAs and Ro60 and La proteins are well conserved, but the function of the Ro RNP is not known. In humans the RNA component can be one of four small RNAs -- hY1, hY3, hY4 and hY5. The record is from Rfam by way of RNAcentral. Lineage: Eukaryota; Metazoa; Chordata; Mammalia; Primates; Indriidae.
GGUUGGUCCGAGUGCAGUGGUGUUUACAACUAAUUGAUCACAACCAGUUACAGAUUCCUUUGUUCCUUCUCCACUCCCACUGCUCCACUUGACCAGGAAA